GUGGGUGUAGCUCAGUUGGUAGAGCCCCUGACUGUGACUCAGGUUGUCGCGAGUUCGAGUCUCGUCAUCCACCCCA
Molecule: transfer RNA, 76 nt
Filed under: Cycloclasticus sp. 46_120_T64
Lineage: Bacteria; Pseudomonadati; Pseudomonadota; Gammaproteobacteria; Thiotrichales; Piscirickettsiaceae
Also listed under: 1 other name
Description: tRNA-His
Rfam family: tRNA
About the family: Transfer RNA (tRNA) molecules are approximately 80 nucleotides in length. Their secondary structure includes four short double-helical elements and three loops (D, anti-codon, and T loops).
Source: RNAcentral